GCAAACUUGGUCAUUUAGAGGAAGUAAAAGUCGUAACAAGGUUUCCGUAGGUGAACCUGCGGAAGGAUCAUUAUCGAGACCAAACGUUGGAGACUGUGCUGGCCCUUGGGCAUGUGCACGUCCCCUUCACUUCCACACACCUUGUGCACUCCCGAGGCGGCUCUCUCGCAGGAAGCCGCCUGCUUUUUACAUGCGCCUUUUUAUGUAUUUGGGAAUGUCUUUUCUAAAUAGAAACAACUUUCAACAACGGAUCUCUUGGCUCUCGCAUCGAUGAAGAACGCAGC
Molecule: unclassified non-coding RNA, 284 nt
Filed under: uncultured fungus
Lineage: Eukaryota; Fungi
Description: partial contains small subunit ribosomal RNA, internal transcribed spacer 1, and 5.8S ribosomal RNA
Rfam family: Eukaryotic small subunit ribosomal RNA (bases 1-73)
Source: RNAcentral